This 440-nucleotide ribosomal RNA is filed under the name uncultured bacterium. RNAcentral's name for it is "bacterial SSU rRNA". It matches the Rfam family "Bacterial small subunit ribosomal RNA", at positions 338 to 795 of the family's 1533-position model. The record is from RNAcentral.
CCUACGGGAUGCAGCAGUGGGGAAUCUUGCGCAAUGGGCGAAAGCCUGACGCAGCCAUGCAGCGUGAAUGAUGAAGGUCUUAGGAUUGUAAAAUUCUUUCACCGGGGACGAUAAUGACGGUACCCGGAGAAGAAGCCCCGGCUAACUUCGCGCCAGCAGCCGCGGUAAUACGAAGGGGGCUAGCGUUGCUCGGAAUUACUGGGCGUAAAGGGCGCGUAGGCGGAUCGUUAAGUCAGAGGUGAAAUCCCGGAGCUCAACUUCGGAACUGCCUUUGAUACUGGCGAUCUUGAGUAUGAGAGAGGUAUGUGGAACUCCGAGUGUAGAGGUGAAAUUCGUAGAUAUUCGGAAGAACACCAGUGGCGAAGGCGACAUACUGGCUCAUUACUGACGCUGAGGCGCGAGAGCGUGGGGAGCAAACAGGAUUAGAUACCCUCGUAGUC